ACGCUAGCGGGAGGCCUAACACAUGCAAGCCGAGCGGUAGAAGAUCUUCGGGUCUUUGAGAGCGGCGCACGGGUGCGGAACACGUGUGCAACCUACCUUUAUCUGGGGGAUAGCCUUUCGAAAGGAAGAUUAAUACCCCAUAAUAUAUUUGAUGGCAUCAUUAGAUAUUGAAAACUCCGGUGGAUAGAGAUGGGCACGCGCAAGAUUAGAUAGUUGGUGAGGUAACGGCUCACCAAGUCAGUGAUCUUUAGGGGGCCUGAGAGGGUGAUCCCCCACACUGGUACUGAGACACGGACCAGACUCCUACGGGAGGCAGCAGUGAGGAAUAUUGGACAAUGGGUGAGAGCCUGAUCCAGCCAUCCCGCGUGAAGGACGACGGCCCUAUGGGUUGUAAACUUCUUUUAUACUGGGAUAAACCUACUUACGUGUAAGUAGCUGAAGGUACAGUAUGAAUAAGCACCGGCUAACUCCGUGCCAGCAGCCGCGGUAAUACGGAGGGUGCAAGCGUUAUCCGGAUUUAUUGGGUUUAAAGGGUCCGUAGGCGGACUCGUAAGUCAGUGGUGAAAUCUCAUAGCUUAACUAUGAAACUGCCAUUGAUACUGCGGGUCUUGAGUAAAGUAGAAGUGGCUGGAAUAAGUAGUGUAGCGGUGAAAUGCAUAGAUAUUACUUAGAACACCAAUUGCGAAGGCAGGUCACUAUGUUUUAACUGACGCUGAGGGACGAAAGCGUGGGGAGCGAAC
RNAcentral lists this ribosomal RNA (740 nucleotides) under uncultured bacterium. RNAcentral describes it as "bacterial SSU rRNA". It matches the Rfam family "Bacterial small subunit ribosomal RNA", at positions 33 to 773 of the family's 1533-position model. The record is from RNAcentral.